UCUGGGUUUAUCCCAGCGGUCUCGUUAGAAAGAUUUAACUAACGACGGGGGUUGCGCUCGUUGCGGGACUUAACCCAACACCUCACGGCACGAGCUGACGACAGCCAUGCAGCACCUGUGCUAGCUCCCCGAAGGGUCCUUUGUCUUUCGACUCCGUACUACUAGCAUGUCAAGCCUUGGUAAGGUGGGGAUGACGUAGAACGGUUGGUU
This 210-nucleotide unclassified non-coding RNA is filed under the name uncultured Dehalococcoidia bacterium. RNAcentral describes it as "contains 16S-23S intergenic spacer region". The record is from RNAcentral. Lineage: Bacteria; Bacillati; Chloroflexota; Dehalococcoidia.